UUUCCGUAGGUGAACCUGCGGAAGGAUCAUUAUCGUACACUAUGAGAGAUGCAUGCUAGGGCUGUCACUGACCCAAAAGUCGUGCACGCCCGAGUGUGUGCUCUUGCAUCAUACUCGAUCUCACCCUUUGUGCAUCCCCGCGUGGGCACCCUUCGGGAGCAUCUCGGAGGGGGCCUCGCGCUUUAACUCAAACCCCCCUUCUAAAAAUGUAGAAUAACAACAUAUAUUCAAACAAUCCAACUUUCAACAACGGAUCUCUUGGCUCACCCAUCGAUGAAG
RNAcentral lists this unclassified non-coding RNA (279 nucleotides) under plant metagenome. RNAcentral's name for it is "partial contains small subunit ribosomal RNA, internal transcribed spacer 1, and 5.8S ribosomal RNA". The record is from RNAcentral.